CUGCCACCGGGACGCGAGGAUCCCCACGGGCCGUUUCGUCGGUCGCCGGGGCCAGCAGCGGGAGCUCUGGUCCGCCCGUGGGGGGAGCGAGUGGCGAGACCGGCCCGGGGCCCU
This 114-nucleotide non-coding RNA is filed under the name unclassified sequences. Its description in RNAcentral is "c-di-GMP sequence". It matches the Rfam family "c-di-GMP-II-GAG riboswitch aptamer". The record is from Rfam by way of RNAcentral.